RNAcentral lists this ribosomal RNA (402 nucleotides) under Heterosigma akashiwo. RNAcentral describes it as "partial Bacterial small subunit ribosomal RNA". It matches the Rfam family "Bacterial small subunit ribosomal RNA", at positions 533 to 932 of the family's 1533-position model. The record is from RNAcentral. Lineage: Eukaryota; Raphidophyceae; Chattonellales; Chattonellaceae.
GGCAAGCGUUGUCCGGAAUUAUUGGGCGUAAAGAGCUCGUAGGCGGUUUGUCGCGUCUGUCGUGAAAGUCCGGGGCUUAACCCCGGAUCUGCGGUGGGUACGGGCAGACUAGAGUGCAGUAGGGGAGACUGGAAUUCCUGGUGUAGCGGUGAAAUGCGCAGAUAUCAGGAGGAACACCGGUGGCGAAGGCGGGUCUCUGGGCCGAUACUGACGCUGAGGAGCGAAAGCGUGGGGAGCGAACAGGAUUAGAUACCCUGGUAGUCCACGCUGUAAACGGUGGGUACUAGGUGUGGGGUCCAUUCCACGGGUUCCGUGCCGUAGCUAACGCUUUAAGUACCCCGCCUGGGGAGUACGGCCGCAAGGCUAAAACUCAAAGGAAUUGACGGGGGCCCGCACAAGCGG